RNAcentral lists this ribosomal RNA (497 nucleotides) under uncultured bacterium. RNAcentral describes it as "partial 16S ribosomal RNA". It matches the Rfam family "Bacterial small subunit ribosomal RNA", at positions 28 to 507 of the family's 1533-position model. The record is from RNAcentral.
GAUGAACGCUGGCGGCGUGCCUAAUACAUGCAAGUCGAGCGAACAGGCGAGGAGCUUGCUCCUCUGACGUUAGCGGCGGACGGGUGAGUAACACGUGGAUAACCUACCUAUAAGACUGGGAUAACUUCGGGAAACCGGAGCUAAUACCGGAUAAUAUAUUGAACCGCAUGGUUCAAUAGUGAAAGACGGUUUUGCUGUCACUUAUAGAUGGAUCCGCGCCGCAUUAGCUAGUUGGUAAGGUAACGGCUUACCAAGGCAACGAUGCGUAGCCGACCUGAGAGGGUGAUCGGCCACACUGGAACUGAGACACGGUCCAGACUCCUACGGGAGGCAGCAGUAGGGAAUCUUCCGCAAUGGGCGAAAGCCUGACGGAGCAACGCCGCGUGAGUGAUGAAGGUCUUCGGAUCGUAAAACUCUGUUAUUAGGGAAGAACAAAAGUGUAAGUAACUAUGCACGUCUUGACGGUACCUAAUCAGAAAGCCACGGCUAACUACGUG